GGGUGUGAGGAUGAUCUGGCUAAAGCAUUUUUCCCAUUGAUUGCCAGGGUUGAUUUGGUUGAUCUGGCUGGCUAGACUGGUACCCCCUUUCUCUCACUGCACCAUACACGUUGGAACAAGGGGGGUUGUCAAACUUCCAGACAUCCAAAUGAGGUGCUGUGUGUGACAAUCUGCCUUUU
RNAcentral lists this small nuclear RNA (179 nucleotides) under Ailuropoda melanoleuca (giant panda). RNAcentral describes it as "7SK RNA". It matches the Rfam family "7SK RNA". Rfam says of the family: 7SK was discovered as an abundant small nuclear RNA in the mid-70s but a possible function has only recently been suggested. Lineage: Eukaryota; Metazoa; Chordata; Mammalia; Carnivora; Ursidae. The record is from Rfam by way of RNAcentral.